Molecule: long non-coding RNA, 199 nt
Filed under: Lathyrus oleraceus (garden pea)
Lineage: Eukaryota; Viridiplantae; Streptophyta; Magnoliopsida; Fabales; Fabaceae
Description: Pisum sativum (pea) long non-coding RNA (PSAT_LNC035654)
Source: RNAcentral
UCCUGUGCCUUGUGAUACACAGCCAACCAGCCAUUGUUUCAUCAUUUUGCAUCAUAGCAUGUUUACUUUCAAAAAAAAUGCAUAAAAAAGAAAAAAAGUUAACCCGCAUAUGCAUAUCAUUUUUUAGGUUUAUUCAGGAGUCUGUUCACACCGUGAGAUGGCUGCCAUUCCAAAGUUGAAGAGGAAGACUUGCACCUAC